Argiope bruennichi is the source of this 74-nucleotide non-coding RNA. The record is from the annotation of a RefSeq genome assembly. Lineage: Eukaryota; Metazoa; Arthropoda; Arachnida; Araneae; Araneidae.
GCCUCCGUGGCGCAAUCGGUUAGCGCGUUCCGCUGUUAACCGAAAGGUUGGUGGUUCGAGCCCACCUGGGGGCG